AUUGAACGCUGGCGGCAUGCCUAACACAUGCAAGUCGAGCGGAAGAAGGCUGCUUGCUGCUGGCUUGAGCGGCGGACGGGUGAGUAAUGCCUAGGAAUCUGCCCGUUCGCUGGGGAUUACGCCCGGAAACCGGCGCUUAUACCCCAUACGUCCUGACCGUGAAGGUGGGGGAGCUUCGAGCCUCACCCUUUUGGUUUAGGCUCGGUCGGUUUCGCUUGGUGGUGGGGGUAAGGCCUACCCAGGCGACGAUCGGUAACUGGUCUGAGAGGAUGAUCCGCCACACUGGAACUGAGACACGGUCCAGGCUCCUACGGGAGGCAGCAGUGGGGAAUGUUGGACAGUAGGGGAAAACCUGAUCCAGCGAUGCGGCGUGUGUGAAGAAGGUCUUCGGAUUGUAAAGCACGUUUAGUUGGGAGGAAGGGCAGUAAGCUAAGACCAAGCUUUUGUGACGGUACCAGCAGAAUAAGCACCGGCUAACUACGUG
This 484-nucleotide ribosomal RNA is filed under the name uncultured bacterium. Its description in RNAcentral is "partial 16S ribosomal RNA". It matches the Rfam family "Bacterial small subunit ribosomal RNA", at positions 30 to 507 of the family's 1533-position model. The record is from RNAcentral.